AAACCAACAGGGAUUGCCUUAGUAGCGGCGAGUGAAGCGGCAAAAGCUCAAAUUUGAAAUCUGGCGCCUUCGGUGUCCGAGUUGUAAUUUGAAGAUUGUAACCUUGGGGUUGGCUCUUGUCUAUGUUUCUUGGAACAGGACGUCACAGAGGGUGAGAAUCCCGUGCGAUGAGAUGCCCAAUUCUAUGUAAGGUGCUUUCGAAGAGUCGAGUUGUUUGGGAAUGCAGCUCUAAGUGGGUGGUAAAUUCCAUCUAAAGCUAAAUAUUGGCGAGAGACCGAUAGCGAACAAGUACAGUGAUGGAAAGAUGAAAAGAACUUUGAAAAGAGAGUGAAAAAGUACGUGAAAUUGUUGAAAGGGAAGGGUUUGAGAUCAGACUCGAUAUUUUGUGAGCCUUGCCUUCGUGGCGGGGUGACCCGCAGCUUAUCGGGCCAGCAUCGGUUUGGGCGGUAGGAUAAUGGCGUAGGAAUGUGACUUUACUUCGGUGAAGUGUUAUAGCCUGCGUUGAUGCUGCCUGCCUAGACCGAGGACUGCGAUUUUAUCAAGG
This 544-nucleotide ribosomal RNA is filed under the name Meyerozyma guilliermondii. RNAcentral's name for it is "LSU rRNA". It matches the Rfam family "Eukaryotic large subunit ribosomal RNA", at positions 62 to 611 of the family's 3401-position model. The record is from RNAcentral. Lineage: Eukaryota; Fungi; Ascomycota; Pichiomycetes; Serinales; Debaryomycetaceae.